UGGGGAAUAUUGGACAAUGGGGGCAACCCUGAUCCAGCAAUGCCGCGUGUGUGAAGAAGGUCUUCGGAUUGUAAAGCACUUUCGACGGGGACGAUGAUGACGGUACCCGUAGAAGAAGCCCCGGCUAACUUCGUGCCAGCAGCCGCGGUAAUACGAAGGGGGCUAGCGUUGCUCGGAAUGACUGGGCGUAAAGGGCGUGUAGGCGGUUUACACAGUCAGAUGUGAAAUCCCCGGGCUUAACCUGGGAGCUGCAUUUGAUACGUGUAGACUAGAGUGUGAGAGAGGGUUGUGGAAUUCCCAGUGUAGAGGUGAAAUUCGUAGAUAUUGGGAAGAACACCGGUGGCGAAGGCGGCAACCUGGCUCAUGACUGACGCUGAGGCGCGAAAGCGUGGGGAGCAAACAGGAUUAGAUACCCUGGUAGUCCACGCUGUAAACGAUGUGUGCUAGAUGUUGGGUACUUU
This 461-nucleotide ribosomal RNA is filed under the name uncultured bacterium. RNAcentral describes it as "partial 16S ribosomal RNA". It matches the Rfam family "Bacterial small subunit ribosomal RNA", at positions 355 to 833 of the family's 1533-position model. The record is from RNAcentral.